CCUACGGGAGGCAGCAGUAAGGAAUAUUGGGCAAUGGACGCAAGUCUGAACCAGCCAUGCCGCGUGCAGGAAGACGGCCUUAUGGGUUGUAAACUGCUUUUGUGAGGGAAAAAACUGGGGUACGUGUACCUCAUUGCUUGUACCUUACGAAUAAGCAUCGGCUAACUCCGUGCCAGCAGCCGCGGUAAUACGGAGGAUGCGAGCGUUAUCCGGAUUCAUUGGGUUUAAAGGGUGCGCAGGCGGACUAAUAAGUCAGUGGUGAAAUCCCAUAGCUUAACUAUGGAACUGCCAUUGAUACUGUUAGACUAGAGUGUAGAUGACGUAGGCGGAAUGCGACAUGUAGCGGUGAAAUGCUUAGAUAUGUCGCAGAACACCGAUUGCGAAGGCAGCUUACGAAACUACAACUGACGCUCAUGCACGAAAGCGUGGGGAUCAAACAGGAUUAGAUACCCUGGUAGUCCACGCUGUAAACGAUGAUUACUCGCUGUUGGCGAUACACAGUCAGUGGCUAAGCGAAAGUGAUAAGUAAUCCACCUGGGGAGUACGACGGCAACGUUGAAACUCAAAGGAAUUGACGG
RNAcentral lists this ribosomal RNA (578 nucleotides) under uncultured Bacteroidota bacterium. RNAcentral's name for it is "bacterial SSU rRNA". It matches the Rfam family "Bacterial small subunit ribosomal RNA", at positions 338 to 916 of the family's 1533-position model. The record is from RNAcentral. Lineage: Bacteria; Pseudomonadati; Bacteroidota.